UACGUAGGGGGCUAGCGUUAUCCGGAAUUACUGGGCGUAAAGGGUGCGUAGGUGGUUUCUUAAGUCAGAGGUGAAAGGCUACGGCUCAACCGUAGUAAGCCUUUGAAACUGAGAAACUUGAGUGCAGGAGAGGAGAGUGGAAUUCCUAGUGUAGCGGUGAAAUGCGUAGAUAUUAGGAGGAACACCAGUUGCGAAGGCGGCUCUCUGGACUGUAACUGACACUGAGGCACGAAAGCGUGGGGAGCAAACAGGAUUAGAUACCCGGGUAGUCCCUGAGCGGG
RNAcentral lists this ribosomal RNA (281 nucleotides) under uncultured prokaryote. Its description in RNAcentral is "partial 16S ribosomal RNA". It matches the Rfam family "Bacterial small subunit ribosomal RNA", at positions 524 to 803 of the family's 1533-position model. The record is from RNAcentral.